AAUAAACGCUGGCGGCGUGCUUAACACAUGCAAGUCGAACGAGAAAGCUCCUUCGGGGGUGAGUACAGUGGCGAACGGGUGAGUAACACAUGGGAAUCUUCCUUUUAGUGAAGGAUAACCCUGGGAAACUAGGGCUAAUACUGCAUACGUCCCUUCGGGGAGAAAGAUGGCCUCUUGCUGUCGCUAAAAGAUGAGCCCGUGUCCUAUUAGCUAGUUGGUGAGGUAAAGGCUUACCAAGGCGAUGAUGGGUAGCCGGCCUGAGAGGGUGUACGGCCACAUUGGGACUGAGAUACGGCCCAGACUCCUACGGGAGGCAGCAGUGGGGAAUAUUGCACAAUGGGCGAAAGCCUGAUGCAGCGACGCCGCGUGGAGGAUGACGGUUUUCGAAUCGUAAACUCCUGUUAAGUGGGAAGAAAUACGUACGAGUAAUAUGCGUACGUUCUGACGGUACCACUAGAGAAAGCUCCGGCUAACUUCGUGCCAGCCGCCGCAGUAA
RNAcentral lists this ribosomal RNA (496 nucleotides) under uncultured bacterium. RNAcentral's name for it is "partial 16S ribosomal RNA". It matches the Rfam family "Bacterial small subunit ribosomal RNA", at positions 29 to 523 of the family's 1533-position model. The record is from RNAcentral.